This 96-nucleotide antisense RNA is filed under the name Staphylococcus epidermidis SK135. RNAcentral describes it as "ctRNA". It matches the Rfam family "ctRNA". From Rfam's summary of the family: Rolling circle replication plasmids contain a number of mechanisms to maintain a low copy number. One of these methods is to transcribe a small RNA called ctRNA (for counter-transcribed RNA) than is transcribed on the opposite strand to RepB the replication initiation protein. ctRNA binds to the mRNA of repB and causes translational inhibition. Lineage: Bacteria; Bacillati; Bacillota; Bacilli; Caryophanales; Staphylococcaceae. The record is from RNAcentral.
ACGUAAAUAGCACGCUAUUAUUUCUUUUAUAUCAAUUUGGGUAAGUCGUUCCACAAACUUUGGUAGGGGAGUGGGACGACUUCUUUUUAUUUUGCU